RNAcentral lists this ribosomal RNA (253 nucleotides) under uncultured bacterium. RNAcentral describes it as "partial 16S ribosomal RNA". It matches the Rfam family "Bacterial small subunit ribosomal RNA", at positions 524 to 776 of the family's 1533-position model. The record is from RNAcentral.
UACGUAGGGGGCGAGCGUUGUCCGGAGUUACUGGGCGUAAAGCGCUUGUAGGCGGUCCACCAAGUUCGGGGUGACAGUUGCCGACUUAAUCGGCAAAGUGCCUCAAAGACUGGCGGACUUGAGGGCCACAGAGGGACAUGGAACUCCAGGUGUAGUGGUGAAAUGCGUAGAUAUCUGGAAGAACACCAAAGGCGAAGGCAGUGUCCUGGGUGGUCGCUGACGCUGAGAGGCGAAAGCCAGGGGAGCGAACGGG